Long non-coding RNA from Apis mellifera (honey bee), 1446 nucleotides. RefSeq lists it as uncharacterized. The record is from RefSeq and is a predicted model, not a curated record. The transcript has 3 exons. NCBI's taxonomy places the organism in Eukaryota, Metazoa, Arthropoda, Insecta, Hymenoptera, Apidae.
CUGCAAGCGCGAGGAGUGGGGAAUCUUGGUGGCGCGAGGUGGAGAAAAAAUAGAAUUAAAAAGAAGGAACGGUAUCGAAACGUAAAUCAGGCGGCAAUUAAAAUUAGCGAGGGGUUCGCGUUAAACGGACGGUUACAUUUAUCCAUCCACGGCUCUUUGAUGAGUUUUCCCGAGAACGCGUCAGUUACUUCGAAGCUCUGUCGGUUUUUCGGCAUUCACAGCUCAAGUUGUGUUUAACGGUGAUCGAAAAGAAUUGGAAAUCGAAGAGCCUAAAUAAGAAUGUGACUGAUGGCGUUAUUCGUCUAAAGCUGGAUUAAUGUAGGCUACGAUAGAUGGUAAAUCACUUCAAAUACUUUUCUCUUUCUCUCCCCUAUUGAACAACUGGUGGCAAUGUUUGACACGAAAUCCAUAAUCUAUAGGUUAAUCUACACCCAUUUACAAGUUAAUCUAACCACAUUGUCAAUAGAGAGAUUGACCGUUCUUUCAGUCCCGAGCUUCUUUUCGUGCACGUAUAUUUAAGGUGGGAUACGAAAAGGGCACGAGGCCAAAGAAAAGGACAUCAAGAAGAAUGGCUUGGAAUGGCUCAUCCUUUUCUUUCUCAUUCUCCGUGUUUUAAGUCGUUCCAGAUGGUUGAGGUCGAGAUUCGUUCGUGGCAACCACCUACAGGGUAUGGACCUCCUCCUGAGCCGAAACAAAUGUUCUUCGCGGCAUUUCUUACCGAAAAGCAAAUUCGAAUGUUUAAAUUCGUACGUAUUCUAUAACAAGGAAGAAACGUGGGUGAUGAUUGUUGAUAAGUAUAUAGAGAUGCUAUUGUAUUCGAUUAUAACGCAAAGCUCGAAUUGGAAAAAUCAAAAUCGUAAAAAAUGUCAAAAAUGAAUUAUGAACUCGAUAUGCGACAUGACACGAUUAUGAAUUUUAUGUAUACAAAUAUUUCUUUUGCAUCGUUAUGAUGAAAAGAUAUUUGAUAAAUAAAGAAUCGCAUUCUUCUAAAACGAAAAGUGGUGCAAGUUCGUCCCUUAAGUGGUAACAUUUAACUCAAGAGCGAGAACACUCGAAGGAUUUCUAAGUGGUAUGAACGAAAUCGAAUAUUUAGACUCGUCAUGACAUGUAUACUCGUAUGUUUCCUAUUUUAUUACCAGCUACAUUAAUUGUGACGGCUUUCAAGACGUUUCGAUUAUUUUUUCACUACGACUUUUCUGGUAAUCUUACUUACGGAAUCAUCUUGUUCCUUUUUAAACGAAACUCUUAACACAUUUUCUUCGAAACUUGUAUCUUUAAAUGAAUAUUUUUCAUUCUCGGUUAUAAUCCACAAUUGCAACUUUUUCAGAAAAUUAAAAAAAAUAUUGAUAACGAUUGCAUUAUAUUAUAGAUAAAAGACGAUGGAAAUCAUUUCAAUCAUAUAAAUAAAGAUUCAUCUCUUUUCUCUUAGUAAAUCAAGUUAUUUGG